RNAcentral lists this long non-coding RNA (726 nucleotides) under Bos taurus (domestic cattle). Its description in RNAcentral is "long non-coding RNA NONBTAT005007". The record is from RNAcentral. Lineage: Eukaryota; Metazoa; Chordata; Mammalia; Artiodactyla; Bovidae.
UGGCCCCUUUUAGCAUAUAAUGCCAUUAAUAUUAAUGCAAUGUUUUUUGUCAUGUAAAAAUUAAAAAUAUUCCUCAAAAAGCUGAUUAAUGGUUCAAAAAUAAUCCUGAAUUUUAACAGGAUUUCUUAUCUCCCUCUUUUUAAACUAUAUAUAUGUAUUUUUUUCCCUAAAAUAAGGUUUCUGGAAAUGUAAUUUCUAUAAUUAAAAAAUUUACCAUUAAAACUAAAGGGUGAAGAUUCAUAAAAUACAUGAGGAUUUAAAGAUAACAGCGAGCUACACAAUUCUGGUAUUUUUUUCAUUGUUUAACAUUGUAUAGAUUUCAGCAUAAAUUCAGCAUUUAUUCAUUUCCAUUUCUUUACAAGUAAUAUUCUCAGAAGCAUUAUUAUUUUUGGAGAUGGUCUAUAUGGGUUGGUUGAAAUUCUCAAUGUGAUGAUGGUAAUUCGUUUUCAUGACUUAAGUAAUUGAGCCUAGUUUUAGUGUUAUUAAUUAUAAUUACAUUAUACUGUAUUUCCAAAGGAAAACAGAAUAAAUAUAUCAUAAUCACUAUAACCAUACUGUAAAAAAAACAGUAAUUACAUAUUAAUUCCCAUCAGUUCAGUCACAUACCAUUGCACUUAAUGCCUUCAAUAUGUUUCAGGCUUAUUAUACAAUAAGCACUGAUUUUCACUUAGAUAUGAUAAUUCAUGGACUUUCUCAACCACAGUACCCAAGGUUCCAUCUUAAAUC